ACACAUUCAAGCCAAUCAGCAGCAGACCCUCCCUCCCAGACCCUCCCACCUCCUGGACUGCAUCCAUUGUGAAGCUGCAUUCUUAGUGAGCUGUCCAGGAGGUGGGAGGGUCUGGGAGGGAGGGUCUGCUGCUGAUUGGUUGGAAUGU
RNAcentral lists this microRNA precursor (148 nucleotides) under Pelobates cultripes (western spadefoot toad). Lineage: Eukaryota; Metazoa; Chordata; Amphibia; Anura; Pelobatidae. The record is from RNAcentral.